This 253-nucleotide ribosomal RNA is filed under the name uncultured bacterium. RNAcentral's name for it is "partial 16S ribosomal RNA". It matches the Rfam family "Bacterial small subunit ribosomal RNA", at positions 524 to 776 of the family's 1533-position model. The record is from RNAcentral.
UACGUAGGGGGCAAGCGUUGUCCGGAAUCAUUGGGCGUAAAGAGCGUGUAGGCGGCCCGGUAAGUCCGCUGUGAAAGUCCAGGGCUCAACCCUGGGAUGCCGGUGGAUACUGUCGGGCUCGAGUCCGGAAGAGGAGUGUGGAAUUCCUGGCGUAGCGGUGAAAUGCGCAGAUAUCAGGAGGAACACCAAUGGCGAAGGCAGCACUCUGGGAAGAUACUGACGCUGAGGUGCGAAAGCGUGGGGAGCAAACAGG